CAAGAAUAGACUGAUGUUGUCCUUAACCUGUCACCCGAUUAUUACAAAAUUCUCUACAGAAUUAAAUGUAUAGAAAAACAUAAGAAAGGGACAUAACCAAGUCGGAAAGUAAUGUUAAUUUCACAAUGUGCCCACUGCAUUCAUCUGUGUGCUGUUUUCAAGGGUAACAUAGUUCACGUGUUGCCCGUUAGGUUUUUUCGUGCUGGUCUGACUAGUUCUAUUUAAUUAUUUUGCAUAGAUUACUUUGGUCAGUUUUCAUAUUUAUGCCAGGAACUAUCUUUUUAAUUCAUUGCAUUUAAAUACUUAUCUGUACUAUCCAAAAUAUCCUGAUAUGAUUUGUCUCUCUGAGUCUGAACCUGGAAGCGCCCUCGAAAGGAAAACACUUGUUUAACACACAGGAAGUAGGUUUAGCUCCACCCCCUGCAUCCGCCAUCUCCUGUUACUACAUGGGAAGGCGGGCGAAUUUGAAAAAAGAGCAUAUUCGUUUGCAUCCGAAAACAGAGAAAUUUGUUUAAUACAAUUCCAUAUAACCGACCAUAUAACAGAUUGGACAGUGUAAGUAAAACUAAGGCACAGCUCUUUUAAAAUACAUGCAACGUUGUUGUUGUAAUCGUGGCAUUGUAAAUUUCUCGCGUGUUCGUCGUGUUAGCUUACUGACUAGCAGCAGUUUGCAGUUUCUGGAUCUGUAUUGUCUUGCAAGAUGAGCAACAAAACCACACGAUUACCGUCGCGGAAAAGCAGCGAUGAAAUCAGAAAGUCAAGUGGAAAGAGUCCACCACGAAGGAGGUCCUGCAGGUUGUCUGCAAGUGAUGUAAAUCUGGCCUCUAAAGUUGUGGUGAGUUCACUAAAGUCAGUCACUGAUUGAUGAGUGGUAGGAAUCGAUGGAAAAAACAAGACACGUCUGGUAUUUACUUCUAUAAAUGAAAUCAGAAGCUGAUUUUCUGUUGUGAGUUGACAAGUAAGGUUUUUUUGCUCAUCACGUG
This 983-nucleotide long non-coding RNA is filed under the name Sinocyclocheilus grahami. RNAcentral describes it as "lncRNA (ENSSGRG00000041065.1)". Lineage: Eukaryota; Metazoa; Chordata; Actinopteri; Cypriniformes; Cyprinidae. The record is from RNAcentral.